UUCGCCCUUAGAGUUUGAUCCUGGCUCAGAGCGAACGCUGGCGGCAGGCUUAACACAUGCAGGUCGAACGCAUCCUUCGGGAUGAGUGGCAGACGGGUGAGUAACACGUGGGAACGUGCCCUCCGGUCUGGGAUAACCCUGGGAAACUAGGGCUAAUACCGGAUACGUGCUUUGGCAGAAAGGUUUACUGCCGGAGGAUCGGCCCGCGUCUGAUUAGCUAGUUGGUGGGGUAACGGCCUACCAAGGCGACGAUCAGUAGCUGGUCUGAGAGGAUGAUCAGCCACACUGGGACUGAGACACGGCCCAGACUCCUACGGGAGGCAGCAGAAGGG
Molecule: ribosomal RNA, 332 nt
Filed under: uncultured Methylobacterium sp.
Lineage: Bacteria; Pseudomonadati; Pseudomonadota; Alphaproteobacteria; Hyphomicrobiales; Methylobacteriaceae
Description: bacterial SSU rRNA
Rfam family: Bacterial small subunit ribosomal RNA
Source: RNAcentral